RNAcentral lists this ribosomal RNA (714 nucleotides) under Enterococcus durans. RNAcentral's name for it is "bacterial SSU rRNA". It matches the Rfam family "Bacterial small subunit ribosomal RNA", at positions 31 to 718 of the family's 1533-position model. Lineage: Bacteria; Bacillati; Bacillota; Bacilli; Lactobacillales; Enterococcaceae. The record is from RNAcentral.
UAAGAAUGGCAGGAGCUAUAAUGCAGUCGUACGCUUCUUUUUCCACCGGAGCUUGCUCCACCGGAAAAAGAAGAGUGGCGAACGGGUGAGUAACACGUGGGUAACCUGCCCAUCAGAAGGGGAUAACACUUGGAAACAGGUGCUAAUACCGUAUAACAAUCGAAACCGCAUGGUUUUGAUUUGAAAGGCGCUUUCGGGUGUCGCUGAUGGAUGGACCCGCGGUGCAUUAGCUAGUUGGUGAGGUAACGGCUCACCAAGGCUACGAUGCAUAGCCGACCUGAGAGGGUGAUCGGCCACAUUGGGACUGAGACACGGCCCAAACUCCUACGGGAGGCAGCAGUAGGGAAUCUUCGGCAAUGGACGAAAGUCUGACCGAGCAACGCCGCGUGAGUGAAGAAGGUUUUCGGAUCGUAAAACUCUGUUGUUAGAGAAGAACAAGGAUGAGAGUAACUGUUCAUCCCUUGACGGUAUCUAACCAGAAAGCCACGGCUAACUACGUGCCAGCAGCCGCGGUAAUACGUAGGUGGCAAGCGUUGUCCGGAUUUAUUGGGCGUAAAGCGAGCGCAGGCGGUUUCUUAAGUCUGAUGUGAAAGCCCCCGGCUCAACCGGGGGAGGGUCAUUGGAAACUGGGAGACUUGAGUGCAUAAGAGGACAGUGGAAUUCCAUGUGUAGCGGUGAAAUUGCGUAGAUAUAUGGAGGAACACCCGUGUGCGA